Molecule: long non-coding RNA, 1366 nt
Organism: Harmonia axyridis
Lineage: Eukaryota; Metazoa; Arthropoda; Insecta; Coleoptera; Coccinellidae
Exons: 4
Source: RefSeq, a predicted model, not a curated record
GCAAUUCAUUCUAAAUUAGGGUGUCAGAAGUGAAACUAAAAAGUUUGGUGGCUGAACUGUUGUCUAGUGAAACUUAUCCAUAAACUCAAGAUAAUAAUUGAAUGUAAUUGGUACAUAUAAGACAUUAUUUUGAGGUAGGAAUUGAAUACGAAAAAUGAAUGGAUAUGUUCGAACUGAUUUUGGAAACAACAGGAUGAAAGCCAACCUACUAAGAUGUAGAUUGGGACAUCAUUGUUCUUUGGUGAUGUUUUUUGCAAACAACUGGUUUUUACAUACCCACAACAAAUGAAAUUAGGAAUUAUUAUUAUUACUAUUAUUAUUAUAAAUAUGUUGGAACUGACAAUGGAAAAAAAGGAGCAAAGAAGUUUUUUGCGAAUUCAGAAGUUUUUGGUUAAAGAAAUAUUGAACUGGACUUCAGGUGUUAGUCUUGACUGAGUUUGCACACUAUCGAUAUAUGGUAAAUUGAAAUUGAAAAUCUUCUUUCACUUUAUAUCGUUAUAAUCUUUCAUAAUCACUGUAAUCUAUAAGAUUUCACAUUAUUUUACUCUUCGUACAUAGAGGAAAACAAAUUACCGAAUGUCCUACACUGUCAACAGGAACGAAGAAAUGGAAGCAAUGAGGAAAUGAUUGAAAUAAAAUAUUUUCAAUCAUUUAGGAGAUUUUGCAUCCAAACUGGUUUUCGAAUCCCAUCAACAAAUCAAAUUAAGGAUAUGUUUAUUUGACAAUGGAAAAAAGGGCAAAGAACGUUUUUUGUAAUUCAGAAGUUUUUGGUGAGUAGGGAAAUAUCUAUGUUUUUCAUCUUUGAAAUAUCAAAGUGGAUUUCAUUCAGACGCAGCCUUUAGUCUUUACUAAAUUUGUGCACUCUGUGUCAACAUAUGAUAAAUUAAAAUUGAAAAUUGUCAUUGAAUUCAUAUCGUUAAUGUCUGUAUUCUAUGGGAUUUACAUUAUUCAUCUAUUCGUAAAUAGCAAAAAACGAAUUACUGAGUGUGCUUUAUUAUUUUUCAUUAAUUGUGAGAUAAAUUAAUAUUGUCAUAAAAUGACAAACGGUUAAGUUACUCUACAUUUGUUGUUGUUUGAAAAAUAGAUAUAAACGAGUUUCACGUAUUAAUUAGGAGUACAUGUAUCAUUUUUGAAGGUGACUACGUUGAAGGAUAACAUCGAAUUUUCUGGAUAUCUGUUUUCACUGACCAGAUCUCGGACUUAUUCAUUGAAGUGAAACUUUACAUUUCAAUCUUUAAGUCCCUGAGUUGGCGCACAGAUGGCACCUCGUUACUACCAAGCUUCGAAACCUGCUUGUCAAAAUUUCGUUUAGUUUAGUCUGGAUCAAGAUAUUGAAGAUUAAAGUGAUACACUAUUUCUUUGAGAA